RNAcentral lists this ribosomal RNA (253 nucleotides) under uncultured bacterium. RNAcentral's name for it is "partial 16S ribosomal RNA". It matches the Rfam family "Bacterial small subunit ribosomal RNA", at positions 524 to 776 of the family's 1533-position model. The record is from RNAcentral.
UACGGGGGUGGCAAGCGUUGUUCGGAAUUACUGGGCGUAAAGGGCGCGUAGGCGGCUUUGCAAGUCAGAUGUGAAAGCCCCGAGCUUAACUCGGGAAUUGCAUCUGAAACUGCUUAGCUUGAGUUCUGGAGGGGGUAGUGGAAUUCCCAGUGUAGCGGUGAAAUGCGUAGAUAUUGGGAGGAACACCAGCGGCGAAGGCGGCUACCUGGACAGUAACUGACGCUGAUGCGCGAAAGCUAGGGGAGCGAACGGG